GUUAGGAUUCGCGCCGUCGUCAUAAUUAUUUGAAUGUAAACAAAAACACCCUUCAAUACAAGGGUACAUUAUUGUAGUUAAUCCGAUAAGUGAGUUGUUUUGUAAAUAGGCAUAUUUUGUUGAGGUACCGAUAAUACUAUUAGGGUCACUACUUAUAGAUAAGAUUAACGGUUUAUCAUGACCAUGAUGGUGUCCUUAUAAAGUGCUUAUCGACUCGCCAAAUCUGGAUGAUAAAAGAACAAAAGGUUCUCUGUUAUUCAAUGUCAAUAU
Molecule: non-coding RNA, 270 nt
Organism: Plutella xylostella (diamondback moth)
Lineage: Eukaryota; Metazoa; Arthropoda; Insecta; Lepidoptera; Plutellidae
Source: RefSeq, a predicted model, not a curated record